UAAUGACAACAUAAAGAAAACUCUUCACUUCUCUGGAUUUAAUUAUGGUUAAAUACCAGCAUGCAAACCAUGACAUGGUCAAAACAGGUUUUUAAUACCAAAACUUUGAUCAAGGAUUUCCUCUUAUCAUAUACACACACAUUAAAUCCAUAUGAAAAUAUACUGGUUAUCAUUAGAGGAUGUCAGAAAGGCAAUCAUCAAGAAAUCUCACAAUAGAUGUCAGAACUCUGGACAGAAAUUGGGACAAUUAUUCACUUCUGGAGAAAGUAUAACUUAUACAUCCAGUAUGGAGUCUCCUAACCAAAAAUAAAAAAUAAAAAAAAUUAAAAAAAUUACAAAUCGACCUUUUGUGUCUAAGCUAUACCACUCCUGGGCAAAUAUCAAGAGAACACUACAUCAUAACACAGAGAUGCUUGCACAUCCAUGCUUAUUAAUGGCUCUCUAUUUACAAUAGUAACAAAAUGAAUGAAAUAGAUGCCCAUCAACUGACUAACAGAUCAUGGCAAUGAAUUACAUAUACAAACUCAGACAUAAAGAAAAAUGAAAGUUGCAGCAAAGUGGAGGACCUAGAAAAUAUAAUAUUAAAUAAGGUCACAAAAACUCAGAAAAAGACUCCAUGCACUCCCCCAUAAGCUUAUCCUAGCCCAUAAUGUACAGUGUAAACAGCUGUGAGUGUGGGCAUAGUGUAACACGGAGAACAAGGAAGAGUAGUGUAAGGUGAAGAGGAAGGACAGAAUGUAGCAAAGGGCACAUAAGCCAUGAAUAGGGUUAUAAAGAGCAUUAUUUUUUCUAGAUUCAACUUUGCUGGGUUUUUUUAUAAUUUGUGGCUGAUAAGUGUAUAAAAAUGUAAAUACAGCGAAAGUCUAAAACCAUAACCCAAGUUCCUUGGCUUCAGGUUGUCUAUUCUCACUGUGUGGAAGUUCAUUGAGAUUCAUAGGGUUUGGAACUUUCAAGUGCUGGAGUGGUUAUGUUGGUGGAGCUUUGUGAUAUGUUCAUUUGUGAGUCUAUUAUAAUAAACUGGGGUGUGUGUUUGUAUGUUUGUGUGCAUGUGGGUGUGUGUGUGUGUGUGUGUGUGUGUGUGUGUAAGAAUCCCUGAAUGUGUGUGUGUGUGCACGACUGUGUGUAAGAAACCCUGAAUGCAGCAAGUUUUCAGAGGGCUGCUUAGAAAAAUAAAGACAUUUUUCUUUCAUAACUUUGUAUUUUUCUCUUUUAACAGAUAAGAACGAAUGCAUGGCUCUUUGAAGGGCUAUUGAGCCUAGAAACGAGUGAUUUGAUAAGAAAUAUUAAAUACUAGAAAUGACCCACACACACACACACACACACACUUAUUUUUAAUGUAGGGCAACUUGUUGUAACUGUUCCCUGUUCUCAUAUGCAGUACUAUGAGGCUUUAAUGAAAUGAACAAAUACAACAGGAAAGGAAGAUUACUGUAUCUUCUUUUUAUCUGACUCUUUUCACAGCUACAUAACAGUUUAGGUUACACUGACUGUCUUCUUGGCAAAUGUUUGUCCAAGUUUAGACUUGCAUAUUAUUCAUUGACAUGGUUAAAGUUGAUUUUAUAAAAUAGUAUCAUGAAUCAUUUACUCUAGCUAUGGCAGGAAAGCUAUACAAGAUUUUAUCACAUUAUUCAAAAGAGUCUAAAUAUGAAAGCUUGGGAAUCACAUAUUUCUGGAACAUUCUAUUUAAUAUUUUCAGACCAUGGUUGAAGAUCAUGGUUGGUGUGGUGGUUCUAUACCUUCUCCAACCAUGUUACUCUUCAUUCCCCUCACUUCCCUUAGCUGCAGCAGCCUCCUUGAGGCGACUCCUUUGAGUUUUCCUUUCCUUGUUCUCUGCCUUCAAUUGGUCUCCCAGGAGGACAUAAGUGCCCUGCAUCUCUCUAGAGCUUGUUGAACGCCAUCUUCCCAGGGAUGCUGAGCCUGGCUUCCUGUGCACACCACAGCCUGUGCUGAUCCUUCACUGCAUCUUCCUGUUAGACCCAGAGAACAGGAAUUUCCAGUGUGUUUUCUCCCCAGCCCUUCCCACAGUGCCUGGCUCACAGUGGUCAGUAAGUCUAAGUGACAAUGUGGAUGUGGAGAGAAUGCUGCAGAAUCUGGAGAUGAGUCACUCACCUGACAAUGACAAAGCAUCGGACUGUGCAACUAGAGCUACAGGCACCACAACAAUGAUGAUGAUGAUGAUGAUGAUGAUGAUGAUGAUGAUGAUGAUCACUGCAGACCAGCAGAGACACUUAUCAGGAGACACAGAGUUGACGAUUCUGUGAAAUUUUCCUUGGAGCUUUUUACCUGUAAAAUAUGAAUAUAAGAAUGCCCACUUCUUAAGAAAAACAAAAGAAAUUUACAACAAAAACCCGCUUUACAACUGCCCACAAGUACCUGAAAGGACACUGCAAACCCCAUUCAGAGAAGGUCCUGGUCCAUAAAGGAUGCCAUGGUGGAAAGAAGACUAGAGAGGAUGGAAACAGAACCUUGACCAGGGUCUUCCAGUUCCUGAACUAAGGGUGAAUCAUCAAAUCAAGAAACAAAAGGAGUGAGGAGCAGUGAGAAGCAACAACAACAGUCAGCUGGAUUUCUCUCCAUAAAGUGUUCUGGUUAGAAGGAGGAACAGACACAUAAGGGGGGGAAAUCAGUGUAAUUAGACCUAUGAACAAACUGAGAGAAGAGGAAAAAUAGAAAUGUCUCAAUAAACACACCAAAAGUGUGUGAAAAUUAGGAAUCAGAGGAACUUCCUCAACCCUACAAAAGUUAUCCAUUGAAAACAAAACAAUAACUCCAGCUGCAGCUGCUUGAUUCCCAAGGCUGCAGUUGAGAAUUCUUUCCCAGCCAUCAGGAGCAGGAGCAGGAUGUCCGCUCACUACUCCAGGAUGACUUUUCACAGGAGGGCCUCACCAGGGCAAAGAAAUGGGGUCAUGUGGAUAGAGAAUGGAUCAGCAGUUAAGACUAUUUGUCUUCCAUAGGACACAGGUUCAAUUCCUAGCACCUACAAGGUAGCUUUCAACUGUGCACAACUUGAGUUCCAGGAGACACAUCACCCUUUUCUAGCUUCUGUAGGCACCAGGCACAUAUGUGAUGAACAAAUGUGUGGGAAAAACAGCCAUAUACAUAAAAUAAGUGUCUUAAGAGAGAAAGUUUACACUUCUUGAAAACAGAUGAAAGUGUUUCUCUUCACAGAUGACAUGUUCUAUCUGAAUAAAAAUUCUAACAAAUCUACAAAAGACUACUGGAUGUAAAAAAUGAGUUUACAAAGCUGCAGGACACAAUGUCCGCAUGGCAAAGUUAGCUGCAUCUUCCUGUCAAAAGGAAGUUAACAUCUAAUACAGCACCAUUUACAGCAAUGCCAAAAACCAUAAAAUUAUACAUCUAAAAAAGGUUCAUAAUCAGCAUAACAAAAACUACAUGCAAAAUUUUGAAGAAAUCAGGACAGGGCUGGAGAGUUAGCUCAGUGGUUAAGAGCACUUGUUGCUCUUGCAGAGGACCUGGGUUUGAUUCCAGCACCCACAUGACAGCUUACAACCAUCUAUAAUUCCAGUUUCAGAAAUCUGACACUGUUUCCUGACCAUGGUUGGAACUAGGAAUGAAUGUGAUGCUAGAUAUUUAUGCAGGCAAAACACUCAUAUGCAUAAAUUUUUUAAAAUAAAAAAAAGAAAUCAAGGAAGUUCUAAACACAUAAUUGUUGUGGGGCAUUUGUUCCCACUGACACUCCAAGACUAUCAAUAAAGUGUAGCAUUGAAUCAUGGGCAGAGCUAGUGACUAACUGACCAGAAUUAGCCAUGGAUGUUUUGUAGGACCCAAGAUACAUAUAUAGAGAGAGAGACACAGGAAGGGGCUAAGAAAGAUCCCAGGCCAUUUUGUGUUGGGGAAGGCAAGAGACAGGAGGUCAUUGAUUGCUUCUCCACUGCUUCUCUGAUCAAUCAGGUUUUUACCCUAUUACCUAAUUCCCAUGUUUUACUCGAUAAAAGAACAAUAUAAGUAAAUGCUUACAUAAUAAAAUGGAACACUCAAUAUUGCUCAUAUGUCAACAAUUUCUUAGCAAGUUUAUAUGUGCAACAGUUUCACUUCCUGGAGGGUGACUGCCUUCAGAAAAAAAUUUAUAGCACCAGAUUAUAUGAAAGGUACUAUGAGAACUAAAAAGAAACUAGAAGAGUCCUAAACAAUUCUAAAAAAGAAGGGUUGAACUCAGAGAGAUCAUUCUGCCUAAUCGCAUGACCAAUGAAAACAUGAAUAAAUAAAUAGCACCACAGCUUGGUGCUAGCAAAACAGUAGACACUAGAACAAUACAGCAGAAAAAAAAGACUCCAGAAAUUAUAUCAAACACACAUGGUCAACAGAUAUUUAACAGAGAUGUACAGUUGUUAUGGCAGGGAAAUGGUGGCAUCGCUCCAGUAUGUGCUACUGAAACAACCCGGUGUCUGUCUGCUAAAAAAAGACACAAGAUGGACUGUAGACCCAAGCACAAAGCUUAAUAUUGUAAAGUCAUUUAAUUCCUUAAAAAGUAGGGGGAAUGUGUGUGAACUUGUCUUGAGCAAAAAUCAUCUUAGAUUCAAGAGAAAAUUGACUGUGUAACAGGAGGUUGAUGAAUUCGAUGUUGAUGUGACUCUAACGCCUUUCUUUUAGAAAGGCAAAAUUGUGCAGCCACUAUGGAGCUGUUUGUGCAGGAACUGCACAAUAUGGUGAUGUGUCCCCAUCCUGCUCACAUAUCCCCAUACUAAAAGGAAAGACUGCAUUUAAGUUUUUAAAAAAAAAGAAAAAGAAACCUAUAUGUGUAUAUUUGUAGCAGCUUUAAAGGUCACUGUAAAAAAAAAAUGCAACAUUUGCAAUCAUCCAAAUGUCCCGAAGAUGAUGACAAGUUAAACAAACCCUCUCAACAGAAGAAACAAGUUAGACCCCAAGCCUGCACUUCCCUUUUUCUCAUAUAACUUUACCAGGCAUUGUCCCAAGGCUUCUGACUCAAAAGUCCAUAAACUAAACUUAUCAAGUUUAAGCAAGCUUAAAGGCAGUGAGCCACAGGAAACUGUCUCCUUCCUGCUUAUUUGAAAAGAAACCCAAACUGCCAUGACUCGCUUCCUCCUCUCACUUCUCUAUAAGCUUCCUGCCAGCUUUUCUUAACUUCUUUGUGUAACAUUUGAUUAUGUGGUGCUUGUGUACUUCAGAAUUCAGAGCACUGCUCCUGUGCAGGUGGUGCUGUGGACUGUCUCUUAGAUUCUAGCCAGCAGUGUGUCUGACUCACUAUUGAUGGACACUGCACUGUCUGAAGAGCAGAAUGUAAUACUGCGAUGACAUGAAAGAAGUCAAAUGUGAAGUCUCUGCUUCAGGGAUCCAUUUUGUGACAUUCUGGAAAAGAAACCCAUUUCUCUGCAGAACACGGUGUUGCAUGGACUAUGUUGGAGACGUAUUGGAAACCAGUGUAUGUAUUGGCGAUAAGAAUGGAAGAAAAGCAAGUGUGAGAGCCCAGGUGAGGACAGUUAUUGCUGCCCUUGGGAAGCUGUGUGAGGGGUAGGAAUUUGUCUUCUACUAAGUGUGGGCUUGGGGGAGCAGUGGGGUUCUGCCAGCGCCCAUGUCAGAGGAGCUACAGUCAGCAUGGAGCUCAUGGAGUUCAGUUCACCUAACAGCAAAGCUGAACCCUGAAGAGGCAAAGCCCUGGGGCUCUGAGGAGGAGGCAGGGAAGGGAGAGAGAGAUUGUUCCCAGAAUGCCCCUUGCUUCUGCAGUGCUUCCUCCUACCUGCUGCGGCCAUGUGCCUGCUGCAUUUUGCCUGGUGUGAUGCAACCCCACUCCUCACUGGGCAGUUACCUGCAGAUCACAAUGAAGAUGAUUUCCAUAAGAGCAAUGAUGAUGAGAUCAAUGAUUUAAUUGGACUUCUGGGUUAGCCUAAAACACAUGGAUGGUUAAGACAUUAAAGAUGAUUAGGGAAGUGGUUUAGGUUAUUUGGCCAAUUGCUCCAAUAAAAGAUUUAAAAAAAAAACUUUAUUUUAGACUAAAAGUUACCUUCCUCUUCAUUAGAUGUGAGAAUUGAAGAGUAUAGUGUAGCUGGAGUUUCUCUCCGGUUCCCGCCAAGCCCCUGCAGUCCCACAGCUCACUCAUAAAAUAAUCACUCAGAGGCAUAUAUUACUUAUAAACUAUAUGGCCAUGGCAGGCUUCUUGUUAUCUAGUUCUUCUAUCUUAAAUUAACCAAUUUCUAUUAAUCUAUAAGUUGCCACGUGACUUGUGGCUUACUGGUAUCUUAACAUCUUCUUCUUCUCAUGGCAGCUGGCAGUGUAUCUCUGCCUCAGCCUUCCACUUCCCAGAAUUCUCUUCUCUGCUUGUCCUACCUAUACUUCCUGCCUGACUACUGGGCAAUCAGCAUUUUAUUUAUACAGCACGAUAUCCACAGCACAGUUUCUUAGUCAAGUAACUUACAGAAUUAAUCACAGGCCCCAGUAUUCACCUUGAAAAAGCCAAGUUGUGAAAGGAAAUUAAAUGACCCUAUUGUGUGUGAAAAAAGAUAGAUUGUUAGCUGACCUGUCCUUUCUCUGGAGUAAAAACAGGAUAGGAAUCUGUACACUAAAACACAAACAGCUGCCUUCCAGUACAAAAGGAACUGGAUAAAAAACACUUAGCUUGCUUAAACCUUUGUCAACCAGUAAUAAAAGAAUCAAUGCUUUGGGGUGAAGAUGUUAUGGUGGGAAAAUUAAUACAAAGAAAAAUGUUUACUUGUAGACUUGUAAGAAAAACAGGUAACUUGUGAUCAUAAUGUAAUUUCUUCCUAUGUAACAUUUUAAUUUGUUUUUCGAAAAAAUAUGUCACUUAUAAAGUAACCUUUUCUUUCAAAGAGAUUUUUGUCUUAGGGGGCUGGAGAGAUGGCUCAGAGGUUGAGAGCACUGGCUCCUCUUUCAGAGGUCCUGAGUUUAAUUCCUAGCAACCCCAUGGUGCCUCAUAACCAUGUACAAUAGGAUCUGAUGCCCUCUUCUGACAUACAUGCGGGG
Molecule: long non-coding RNA, 6957 nt
Organism: Peromyscus californicus insignis
Lineage: Eukaryota; Metazoa; Chordata; Mammalia; Rodentia; Cricetidae
Exons: 2
Source: RefSeq, a predicted model, not a curated record